Molecule: ribosomal RNA, 253 nt
Filed under: uncultured bacterium
Lineage: Bacteria
Description: partial 16S ribosomal RNA
Rfam family: Bacterial small subunit ribosomal RNA
Source: RNAcentral
UACAGAGACUGCAAGCGUUAUUCGGAUUCACUGGGCGUAAAGGGUGCGCAGGCGGCCAAGUGUGUGAGGCGUGAAAGCCCGGGGCUUAACCCCGGAAUUGCACCUCAAACUACGUGGCUAGAGCAUUGGAGAGGGUAGCAGAAUUCAUGGUGUAGCAGUGAAAUGCGUAGAUAUCAUGAGGAAUACCAGAGGCGAAGGCGGCUACCUGGACAAUUGCUGACGCUCAGGCACGAAAGCGUGGGGAGCAAAAGGG